Molecule: ribosomal RNA, 495 nt
Filed under: Providencia rettgeri
Lineage: Bacteria; Pseudomonadati; Pseudomonadota; Gammaproteobacteria; Enterobacterales; Morganellaceae
Description: bacterial SSU rRNA
Rfam family: Bacterial small subunit ribosomal RNA
Source: RNAcentral
GUGCUGCAUGGCUGUCGUCAGCUCGUGUUGUGAAAUGUUGGGUUAAGUCCCGCAACGAGCGCAACCCUUAUCCUUUGUUGCCAGCGAUUCGGUCGGGAACUCAAAGGAGACUGCCGGUGAUAAACCGGAGGAAGGUGGGGAUGACGUCAAGUCAUCAUGGCCCUUACGAGUAGGGCUACACACGUGCUACAAUGGCGUAUACAAAGAGAAGCGACCUCGCGAGAGCAAGCGGAACUCAUAAAGUACGUCGUAGUCCGGAUUGGAGUCUGCAACUCGACUCCAUGAAGUCGGAAUCGCUAGUAAUCGUAGAUCAGAAUGCUACGGUGAAUACGUUCCCGGGCCUUGUACACACCGCCCGUCACACCAUGGGAGUGGGUUGCAAAAGAAGUAGGUAGCUUAACCUUCGGGAGGGCGCUUACCACUUUGUGAUUCAUGACUGGGGUGAAGUCGUAACAAGGUAACCGUAGGGGAACCUGCGGUUGGAUCACCUCCUUA